GACGAACGCUGGCGGCGUGCUUAACACAUGCAAGUCGAACGGAAAGGCCCUGCUUUUGUGGGGUGCUCGAGUGGCGAACGGGUGAGUAACACGUGAGUAACCUGCCCUUGACUUUGGGAUAACUUCAGGAAACUGGGGCUAAUACCGGAUAGGAGCUCCUGCUGCAUGGUGGGGGUUGGAAAGUUUCGGCGGUUGGGGAUGGACUCGCGGCUUAUCAGCUUGUUGGUGGGGUAGUGGCUUACCAAGGCUUUGACGGGUAGCCGGCCUGAGAGGGUGACCGGCCACAUUGGGACUGAGAUACGGCCCAGACUCCUACGGGAGGCAGCAGUGGGGAAUAUGGCACAAUGGGCGGAAGCCUGAUGCAGCAACGCCGCGUGCGGGAUGACGGCCUUCGGGUGGUAAACCGCUUUCGCCUGUGACGAAGCGUGAGUGACGGUAAUGGGGAAAGAAGCACCGGCUAACUACGU
This 467-nucleotide ribosomal RNA is filed under the name uncultured bacterium. Its description in RNAcentral is "partial 16S ribosomal RNA". It matches the Rfam family "Bacterial small subunit ribosomal RNA", at positions 28 to 506 of the family's 1533-position model. The record is from RNAcentral.